GUACUGCUUCCUCUUUGCCUCACUCACCCCUUCUUUUAAUUAGUAGCUGGUAAUACUUACCUAAUUAUUGCGAUCAUCACAUCAUACACUUCAAAUACAUGUGAAAUAAGUACUAAUUCUUCUAUUUAAUGUACCUUUGGAACAUUUGAUCUCUAUAACUUUAGCUUCAAAUUAAGUUCCAUCUCAUUUUAGCUUUUCCUUUCUUGUUUCUGUCUUGAUCUUGAUGGAAUGGAAUUGAACUCUCAACCCUGUGCCAGUC
RNAcentral lists this unclassified non-coding RNA (259 nucleotides) under Hevea brasiliensis (rubber tree). The record is from RNAcentral. Lineage: Eukaryota; Viridiplantae; Streptophyta; Magnoliopsida; Malpighiales; Euphorbiaceae.